Molecule: long non-coding RNA, 352 nt
Organism: Leptinotarsa decemlineata (Colorado potato beetle)
Lineage: Eukaryota; Metazoa; Arthropoda; Insecta; Coleoptera; Chrysomelidae
Source: RefSeq, a predicted model, not a curated record
UGGAAGUUGUCAUUGUAAAAUUCUUGCAAACUAAAAUAGGGUCUGAUCGUGAGAAGUUGUUUUGUAUAUUUUCUAAAGCUGUCAAUACUAUUGUGGCUAUUUCUAAAAUGAGACGUUAAAGUACUGAAUCUAGCAGACUAGAGUUACAUACCCCCCAGAAAGGAAUGGCAUAUUUCAGUUGAGAUUCAAUUAAUGCAUAAUAUAAUAUGCGUUCAUAGCCGUUGCAGUAUCAAGAUCCCUUGAAAUAAUUCUUAUUGCAUAGCACCCUGAGGAGAUUUUAUUCUUCAAUUGGUUGACGUGUGCAUCAAACUUCAAUUUACUGUCAGUAUAAAAGCCCAAAAAUUUUGUGCAA